RNAcentral lists this ribosomal RNA (258 nucleotides) under Acasta sandwichi. RNAcentral describes it as "partial small subunit ribosomal RNA". The record is from RNAcentral. Lineage: Eukaryota; Metazoa; Arthropoda; Thecostraca; Balanomorpha; Balanidae.
UUUAGAGGAACCUGCCCUAUAAACGAUGAACCACGAAUCACUCUGCUUUUUCUUGAAAUUCAGUUUGUAUACCGCUGUUGUCAGUUAGUUUCUUUAGAAAACUCUCAUUAAUGAUAUAUUCAAUGACUUCAAGUAAAGGUGCAGCUUAUGAAAAAGAUAGAGGUGGGUUACAUUUAUGAGAAUAAAACGGAUAAAGUUAUUGAAACAAACUUUUGAAGGUGGAUUUAAUUGUAAAGUUUAUAAAGAUUUGAUUUGAGC